ACACUCAUAUGUUUUAUUUAUAUAUUUAUUUAUUUUUGGCACCAGGGAUUGAACUCAGGUCCUUGUGCUUGCGCAGCAGGUGGUGAAACCACUGAACUAAAUCCCCAGCCCUCAUAUAUUUAAGUGUACACACACAUACACAUGCACGCACACCCCACACAUGCACACACUUGCUAACAUGUGCAAAUACACAUCGCCCGGUAUACACAUAGACCUAAGUGUGCAGCUCACAUGUGCACACAAUCACACACACACACUCCCAGCAAGCAGUUCAUAAAUUUUGGGAGUGCUGCUGAAGAUUUUUGGCUAUGAGGAUGGGUUACAUUACACAGAGGACAGCUCCCCCAUCUUACAGCUUCCUCUACCUACUUUCUCUGUCUUGCCUUUCUAGUCCUUCUUUUCCUCCAGCACUACCACCUUCCCCUGUGGCCCCAACAUUUCUAUCCCUCUGUUUUGUAGAGCCAUUCUGCUGCCCACUCUGGAGCUGGAGAAGGCCAAACUGCACCUGCAGAUCUCAGCCAACCAAGGAGGUCUUUCCCAGAGUCAUGGGACUCAAGUUUGUCCAUUUUGUCUCAAACAUCAUUAGGAAUGGAUGUAACAGAAAAGCAUCUUGUCAGCUCCUGUUUACUACCCAAGCCUGCCACAUUGAGCCUCUACUCAGUGCCGGCACUGGGCCAGGCCUUGCAGCCACAGAGACAGUAAAGCACCACAGUCUAAAGCCAAAAAACAGACACGUAAACAAAUAGUGAUGCAUGAAGGGGACCCCAGUGACAAUGCAAACCAGACUUCAUCUCCCAAUGGGGUCACCCCCUGGCUCCACGUGCUGGAGGAACCGGAAGGGAAAGUUUGGGCCUACUAUGUGGGGCAUUUGGAAGACAUUUGCCCGUAAUCAACAUGGAGGUAUGCACCCCCAGCAAUCAUCUGAAGAUGGUUUACCACAAGAGGGGACAGUCUCCUAUCCCAC
Molecule: long non-coding RNA, 964 nt
Filed under: Heterocephalus glaber (naked mole-rat)
Lineage: Eukaryota; Metazoa; Chordata; Mammalia; Rodentia; Bathyergidae
Description: lncRNA (ENSHGLG00100046366.1)
Source: RNAcentral